Molecule: ribosomal RNA, 258 nt
Filed under: uncultured bacterium
Lineage: Bacteria
Description: partial 16S ribosomal RNA
Rfam family: Bacterial small subunit ribosomal RNA
Source: RNAcentral
UACGUAGGGUGCGAGCGUUAAUCGGAAUUACUGGGCGUAAAGCGUGCGCAGGCUGUUUUGUAAGUCAGAUGUGAAAUCCCUGGGCUCAACCUAGGAACUGCAUUUUGUGACUGCAUGGCUAGAAAUCUGGCAGAGGGGGGGUAGAAUUCCACGUGUAGCAGUGAAAUGCGUAGAUAUGUGGAGGAACACCGAUGGCGAAGGCAGCCCCCUGGGUCAAGAUUGACGCUCAUGCACGAAAAGCGUGGGGGAGCAAACAGG